GACGAACGCUGGCGGCGUGCUUAACACAUGCGAGUCGAACGGAAAGGCCCUGCUCUUGUGGGGUGCUCGAGUGGCGAACGGGUGAGUAACACGUGAGUAACCUGUCCCUGACUUUGGGAUAUCUUCAGGAAACUGGGGCUCAUACCGGAUAGGAGCUCCUGCUGCACGGUGGGGGUUGGAGAGUUUCGGCGGUUGGGGAUGGACUCGCGGCUUAUCAGCUUGUUGGUGGGGUAGUGGCUUACCAAGGCUUUGACGGGUAGCCGGCCUGAGAGGGUGACCGGCCACAUUGGGACUGAGAUACGGCCCAGACUCCUACGGGAGGCAGCAGUGGGGAAUAUUGCACAAUGGGCGGAAGCCUGAUGCAGCAACGCCGCGUGCGGGAUGACGGCCUUCGGGUUGUAAACCGCUUUCGCCUGUGACGAAGCGUGAGUGACGGUAAUGGGUAAAAAAGCACCGGCUAACUACGUG
RNAcentral lists this ribosomal RNA (468 nucleotides) under uncultured bacterium. RNAcentral's name for it is "partial 16S ribosomal RNA". It matches the Rfam family "Bacterial small subunit ribosomal RNA", at positions 28 to 507 of the family's 1533-position model. The record is from RNAcentral.